Poeciliopsis prolifica (blackstripe livebearer) is the source of this 86-nucleotide small nucleolar RNA. RefSeq annotates it as small nucleolar RNA SNORD49. The transcript has a single exon. The record is from RefSeq and is a predicted model, not a curated record. NCBI's taxonomy places the organism in Eukaryota, Metazoa, Chordata, Actinopteri, Cyprinodontiformes, Poeciliidae.
AUCAGUGAUGAAAACCUGGAAUAGGAAGUCAAUUAGCAUUAGUCAGAUGCGAUAACUGAUGAUUUUUCUGAUCCAGUUUUCUGAGU